RNAcentral lists this ribosomal RNA (253 nucleotides) under uncultured bacterium. RNAcentral describes it as "partial 16S ribosomal RNA". It matches the Rfam family "Bacterial small subunit ribosomal RNA", at positions 524 to 776 of the family's 1533-position model. The record is from RNAcentral.
UACGAAGGGGGCUAGCGUUGCUCGGAAUUACUGGGCGUAAAGGGCGCGUAGGCGGACAGUUUAGUCAGAGGUGAAAGCCCAGGGCUCAACCUUGGAAAUGCCUUUGAUACUGGCUGUCUUGAGUUCGGGAGAGGUGAGUGGAAUGCCGAGUGUAGAGGUGAAAUUCGUAGAUAUUCGGCGGAACACCAGUGGCGAAGGCGACUCACUGGCCCGAUACUGACGCUGAGGCGCGAAAGCGUGGGGAGCAAACAGG